This 85-nucleotide transfer RNA is filed under the name Halarchaeum grantii. RNAcentral's name for it is "tRNA-Leu". It matches the Rfam family "tRNA". Rfam says of the family: Transfer RNA (tRNA) molecules are approximately 80 nucleotides in length. Their secondary structure includes four short double-helical elements and three loops (D, anti-codon, and T loops). Further hydrogen bonds mediate the characteristic L-shaped molecular structure. tRNAs have two regions of fundamental functional importance: the anti-codon, which is responsible for specific mRNA codon recognition, and the 3' end, to which the tRNAs corresponding amino acid is attached (by aminoacyl-tRNA synthetases). tRNAs cope with the degeneracy of the genetic code in two manners: having more than one tRNA (with a specific anti-codon) for a particular amino acid; and 'wobble' base-pairing, i.e. permitting non-standard base-pairing at the 3rd anti-codon position. The record is from RNAcentral. Lineage: Archaea; Methanobacteriati; Methanobacteriota; Halobacteria; Halobacteriales; Halobacteriaceae.
UGCGAGAGUGGCUGAGCGGCCAAAAGCGGCGGGCUUAAGACCCGCUCCCGUAGGGGUUCAUGGGUUCGAAUCCCAUCUCUCGCAU